AACAAGGCGUACCUGCGGACCUGCGGAGGGAUCAUUGCUGGAACUGUGUCUGCAAAGACACAACCCCAGAUACCCUUUGUGAACUUAUUUUAUAUCGUUGCCUCGGCGCUGAGCUGGGGGCUUCUUUCCAAGAAGCUCUCCCAUCCUCUCUCGGGAAGAUGGAGCAAGCCCGCCGGCGGCCCUCUUAAACUCUUGUUUUUAUUACGUAUCUCUUCUGAGUUAUUCAAAACAAAAUGAAUC
Molecule: unclassified non-coding RNA, 240 nt
Filed under: soil metagenome
Description: partial contains 5.8S ribosomal RNA, internal transcribed spacer 2, and large subunit ribosomal RNA
Source: RNAcentral